RNAcentral lists this ribosomal RNA (440 nucleotides) under uncultured bacterium. Its description in RNAcentral is "partial 16S ribosomal RNA". It matches the Rfam family "Bacterial small subunit ribosomal RNA", at positions 338 to 795 of the family's 1533-position model. The record is from RNAcentral.
CCUACGGGUGGCAGCAGUGGGGAAUAUUGCACAAUGGGGGAAACCCUGAUGCAGCGACGCCGCGUGGGUGAAGUAGUAUUUCGGUAUGUAAAGCUCUAUCAGCAGGGAAGAAGAUGACGGUAACUGAGUAAGAAGCCCCGGCUAACUAAGUGCCAGCAGCCGCGGUAAAACGUAGGGGGCAAGCGUUAUCCGGAUUUACUGGGUGUAAAGGGGGGGUAGACGGGGAGAGAAGUCUGAAGUGAAAGCCCGGGGCGCAACCCCGGGACUGCUUUGGAAACUGUAUGGCUGGAGUGCGGGAGGGGCAGGCGGAAUGCCUGGUGUAGCGGUGAAAUGCGUAGAUAUUAGGAGGAACACCGGUGGCGAAGGCGGCGUGCUGGACCGUGACUGACGUUGAGGCUCGAAAGCGUGGGGAGCGAACAGGAUUAGAUACCCUUGUAGUC